GUGCCAGCAGCACAUAUACUAAAAUUGGAAUGAAACAGAGAAGAUUACCAUGGCCCCUGCACAAAGAUGACAUGCAAAUGCAUGAAGCAUUCUAUAUUUAU
Molecule: small nuclear RNA, 101 nt
Organism: Dipodomys ordii (Ord's kangaroo rat)
Lineage: Eukaryota; Metazoa; Chordata; Mammalia; Rodentia; Heteromyidae
Source: Ensembl